GACGAACGCUGGCGGCGUGCCUAAUACAUGCAAGUAGAACGCUGAAGGAGGAGCUUGCUUCUCUGGAUGAGUUGCGAACGGGUGAGUAACGCGUAGGUAACCUGCCUGGUAGCGGGGGAUAACUAUUGGAAACGAUAGCUAAUACCGCAUAAGAGUACAUGUUGCAUGACAUUUGCUUAAAAGGUGCAAUUGCAUCACUACCAGAUGGACCUGCGUUGUAUUAGCUAGUUGGUGGGGUAACGGCUCACCAAGGCGACGAUACAUAGCCGACCUGAGAGGGUGAUCGGCCACACUGGGACUGAGACACGGCCCAGACUCCUACGGGAGGCAGCAGUAGGGAAUCUUCGGCAAUGGACGGAGGUCUGACCGAGCAACGCCGCGUGAGUGAAGAAGGUUUUCGGAUCGUAAAGCUCUGUUGUAAGAGAAGAACGAGUGUGAGAGUGGAAAGUUCACACUGUGACGGUAGCUUACCAGAAAGGGACGGCUAACUACGUG
Molecule: ribosomal RNA, 495 nt
Filed under: uncultured bacterium
Lineage: Bacteria
Description: partial 16S ribosomal RNA
Rfam family: Bacterial small subunit ribosomal RNA
Source: RNAcentral